CCUACGGGAGGCAGCAGUGGGGAAUAUUGGGCAAUGGGCGCAAGCCUGACCCAGCAACGCCGCGUGAAGGAAGAAGGCUUUCGGGUUGUAAACUUCUUUUCUCAGGGACGAAGAAAGUGACGGUACCUGAGGAAUAAGCCACGGCUAACUACGUGCCAGCAGCCGCGGUAAUACGUAGGUGGCAAGCGUUAUCCGGAUUUAGUGGGUGUAAAGGGCGUGUAGGCGGGAGCGCAAGUCAGAUGUGAAAUCUCAGGGCUCAACCCUGAGCCUGCAUUUGAAACUGUGUUUCUUGAGUGCUGGGGAGGCAAUCGGAAUUCCGUGUGUAGCGGUGAAAUGCGUAGAUAUACGGAGGAACACCAGUGGCGAAGGCAGAUUGCUGGACAGUAACUGACGCUGAGGCGCGAAAGCGUGGGGAGCAAACAGGAUUAGAUACCCGAGUAGUC
RNAcentral lists this ribosomal RNA (443 nucleotides) under uncultured bacterium. Its description in RNAcentral is "partial 16S ribosomal RNA". It matches the Rfam family "Bacterial small subunit ribosomal RNA", at positions 338 to 795 of the family's 1533-position model. The record is from RNAcentral.